RNAcentral lists this small RNA (171 nucleotides) under Arabidopsis thaliana (thale cress). RNAcentral describes it as "ATSL270360". Lineage: Eukaryota; Viridiplantae; Streptophyta; Magnoliopsida; Brassicales; Brassicaceae. The record is from RNAcentral.
AGAUUUUAAAAGCAUAAGUAUUGUAUCCUUGUUAGAAGAUAUAAUGACAAAGACUCAUAUGGACUUCGGCUACACCAUGAAAGCUUUGGGAAGCAAUAAGAAGCUUGGUUAGUGUUUUGGAGUGAAAUAGGACUAGAUGUCAUGUGUAUGAGUGAGUAUAACAACUAGAAU